Molecule: transfer RNA, 73 nt
Filed under: Candida labiduridarum
Lineage: Eukaryota; Fungi; Ascomycota; Pichiomycetes; Serinales; Debaryomycetaceae
Description: tRNA-Leu
Rfam family: tRNA
About the family: Transfer RNA (tRNA) molecules are approximately 80 nucleotides in length. Their secondary structure includes four short double-helical elements and three loops (D, anti-codon, and T loops).
Source: RNAcentral
AUGAUUAUGGCGGAACGGUAUACGCGAUUAACUUAGGAUUAAUUUUUUAUGGGUUCAAAUCCCAUUAAUCAUA